UACGUAGGGGGCAGCGUUGUCCGGAAUCAUUGGGCGUAAAGAGCGUGUAGGCGGUUCGGUAAGUCUGCCGUGAAAACCUGGGGCUCAACCCCGGGCGUGCGGUGGAUACUGCCGGGCUAGAGGGUGGUAGAGGCGAGUGGAAUUCCCGGUGUAGCGGUGAAAUGCGCAGAUAUCAGGAGGAACACCAGUAGCGAAGGCGGCUCGCUGGGCCAUUCCUGACGCUGAGACGCGAAAGCUAGGGGAGCGAACAGG
Molecule: ribosomal RNA, 252 nt
Filed under: uncultured bacterium
Lineage: Bacteria
Description: partial 16S ribosomal RNA
Rfam family: Bacterial small subunit ribosomal RNA
Source: RNAcentral